GGAAUCAUUGGGUUUAAAGGGUCCGUAGGCGGUUUAGUAAGUCAGUGGUGAAAGCCCAUCGCUCAACGGUGGAACGGCCAUUGAUACUGCUAAACUUGAAUUAUUAGGAAGUAACUAGAAUAUGUAGUGUAGCGGUGAAAUGCUUAGAGAUUACAUGGAAUACCAAUUGCGAAGGCAGGUUACUACUAAUUGAUUGACGCUGAUGGACGAAAGCGUGGGUAGCGAACAGGAUUAGAUACCCUGGUAGUCCACGCCGUAAACGAUGGAUACUAGCUGUUGGGGGCAACUUCAGUGGCUAAGCGAAAGUGAUAAGUAUCCCACCUGGGGAGUACGUUCGCAAGAAUGAAACUCAAAGGAAUUGACGGGGGCCCGCACAAGCGGUGGAGCAUGUGGUUUAAUUCGAUGAUACGCGAGGAACCUUACCAAGGCUUAAAUGUAGUUUGACCGAUUUGGAAACAGAUUUUUCGCAAGACAAAUUACAAGGUGCUGCAUGGUUGUCGUCAGCUCGUGCCGUGAGGUGUCAGGUUAAGUCCUAUAACGAGCGCAACCCCUGUUGUUAGUUGCCAGCGAGUGAUGUCGGGAACUCUAACAAGACUGCCAGUGCAAACUGUGAGGAAGGUGGGGAUGACGUCAAAUCAUCACGGCCCUUACGCCUUGGGCUACACACGUGCUACAAUGGCCGGUACAGAGAGCAGCCACUGGGCGACCAGGAGCGAAUCUAUAAAACCGGUCACAGUUCGGAUCGGAGUCUGCAACUCGACUCCGUCCCGCGGGACAAGCUUGUAGAGGUGAUCCAGCCAUGAUCCGGUGAAUACGUUCCCGGGCCUUGUACACACCGCCCGUCAAGCCAUGGAAGCUGGGGGUGCCUGAAGUCGGUGACCGCAAGGAGCUGCCUAGGGUAAAAC
This 905-nucleotide ribosomal RNA is filed under the name Flavobacterium sp. KB58. RNAcentral's name for it is "bacterial SSU rRNA". It matches the Rfam family "Bacterial small subunit ribosomal RNA", at positions 547 to 1468 of the family's 1533-position model. Lineage: Bacteria; Pseudomonadati; Bacteroidota; Flavobacteriia; Flavobacteriales; Flavobacteriaceae. The record is from RNAcentral.